AUCAGAUGAGUCUGCGUACCAUUAGCUAGUUGGUAGGGUAAUGGCCUACCAAGGCGACGAUGGUUAGCGGGUCUGAGAGGAUGAUCCGCCACACUGGAACUGAAACACGGACCAGACUCCUACGGGAGGCAGCAGUGAAGCCUGACGGAGCAACGCCGCGUGAGCGAAGAAGGUCUUCGGAUUGUAAAGCUCUGUGAUAUUGGACGAACAAUUUCCCGUAAAUAAUGGGAAGGAAUGACGGUACAAUAAGAGGAAGCCACGGCUAACUACGUGCCAGCAGCCGCGGUAAUACGUAGGUGGCAAACGUUGUCCGGAAUUACUGGGCGUAAAGGGCGAGUAGGUGGUUUAUUAAGUAGAAGUGAAAACUCCGGGCUCAACUCGGAGACUGCUCUACGAAACUGGUAGACUUGAGUGCAAGAGAGGGAAGUGGAAUUCCUAGUGUAGCGGUGAAAUGCGUAGAUAUUAGGAGGAACACCAGUGGCGAAGGCGACUUCCUGGCUUGUAACUGACACUGAGGCGCGAAAGCGUGGGGAUCAAACAGGAUUAGAUACCCUGGUAGUCCACGCCGUAAACGAUGAGUGCUAGGUGUCGGGGCCGCAAGGUCUCGGUGCCGCAGCUAACGCAUUACCGCCUGGGGAGUACGGUCGCAAGACUGAAACUCAAAGGAAUUGACGGGGGCCCGCACAAGCGGUGGAGUAUGUGGUUUAAUUCGACGCAACGCGAAGAACCUUACCAAGGCUUGACAUCCCGUGACAGCUAUAGAAAUAUAGACUUCUUAGUUUACUUGCACACGGAGACAGGUGGUGCAUGGUUGUCGUCAGCUCGUGUCGUGAGAUGUUGGGUUAAGUCCCGCAACGAGCGCAACCCCUACAGCCAGUUGCCAGCACGUAAAGGUGGGAACUCUGGCAGAACUGCCGUUGACAAAACGGAGGAAGGUGGGGAUGACGUCAAAUCAUCAUGCCCCUUAUGUCUUGGGCUACACACGUGCUACAAUGGCAGUUACAGAGGGCAGCGAAGCGGUAACGUGAAGCGAAUCUCAAAAAAGCUGUCUCAGUUCGGAUCGUGGGCUGCAACCCGCCCACGUGAAGUCGGAGUUGCUAGUAAUCGCGAAUCAUCAUGUCGCGGUGAAUACGUUCCCGGGCCUUGUACACACCGCCCGUCACACCAUGGGAGUUGGGAGCGCCCGAAGUCAGUAUCCUAACCGUAAGGAGGGAGCUGCCGAAGGCGAGAUCAAUGACUGGGGUGAAGUCGUAACAAGGUAACCA
This 1265-nucleotide ribosomal RNA is filed under the name uncultured bacterium. Its description in RNAcentral is "bacterial SSU rRNA". It matches the Rfam family "Bacterial small subunit ribosomal RNA", at positions 220 to 1502 of the family's 1533-position model. The record is from RNAcentral.